Molecule: ribosomal RNA, 547 nt
Filed under: Dichistius capensis (galjoen)
Lineage: Eukaryota; Metazoa; Chordata; Actinopteri; Centrarchiformes; Dichistiidae
Description: partial 16S large subunit ribosomal RNA
Rfam family: Bacterial large subunit ribosomal RNA
Source: RNAcentral
UAAGAGGUCCUGCCUGCCCUGUGACUAUAUGUUUAACGGCCGCGGUAUUUUAACCGUGCGAAGGUAGCGCAAUCACUUGUCUUUUAAAUGGAGACCUGUAUGAAUGGCAUCACGAGGGCUUAGCUGUCUCCUUUUUCAAGUCAAUGAAAUUGAUCUCCCCGUGCAGAAGCGGGGAUAAAACCAUAAGACGAGAAGACCCUAUGGAGCUUAAGAUACAAGGCAGCUUAUGUCAAGCACCCCUGAAUAAAGGACUGAACUAGUAGAUCCUGCCCUGAAUAUCUUUGGUUGGGGCGACCCCGCGGAAGUAAAUAACCCACGAGUGGAACGGGACCCUUCCUUUUAUCCCUCUAACUAAGAGCCCCCGCUCUAAUGAACAGAAUUUCUGACCUAUCCAGAUCCGGCAACGCCGAUUAACGAACCAAGUUACCCUAGGGAUAACAGCGCAAUCCCCUUUUAGAGCCCCUAUCGACAAGGGGGUUUACGACCUCGAUGGUGGAUCAGGACAUCCUAAUGGUGCAACCGCUAUUAAGGGUUCGUUUGUUCAACG